Molecule: ribosomal RNA, 524 nt
Filed under: uncultured bacterium
Lineage: Bacteria
Description: bacterial SSU rRNA
Rfam family: Bacterial small subunit ribosomal RNA
Source: RNAcentral
UGGGGAAUUUUGGACAAUGGGCGCAAGCCUGAUCCAGCNAUGCCGCGUGCAGGAAGAAGGCCUUCGGGUUGUAAACUGCUUUUGUACGGAACGAAAAACUCNNGGUUAAUACCUNGGGGUGAUGACGGUACCGUAAGAAUAAGCACCGGCUAACUACGUGCCAGCAGCCGCGGUAAUACGUAGGGUGCUAAUCGGAAUUACUGGGCGUAAAGCGUGCGCAGGCGGUUUUGUAAGACAGAGGUGAAAUCCCCGGGCUCAACCUGGGAANNGCCUUUGUGACUGCAAGGCUGGAGUGCGGCAGAGGGGGAUGGAAUUCCGCGUGUAGCAGUGAAAUGCGUAGAUAUGCGGAGGAACACCGAUGGCGAAGGCAAUCCCCUGGGCCUGCACUGACGCUCAUGCACGAAAGCGUGGGGAGCAAACAGGAUUAGAUACCCUGGUAGUCCACGCCCUAAACGAUGUCAACUGGUUGUUGGGUCUUAGCUGACUCAGUAACGAAGCCAACGCGUGAAGUUGACCGCCUGGGA